This 253-nucleotide ribosomal RNA is filed under the name uncultured bacterium. Its description in RNAcentral is "partial 16S ribosomal RNA". It matches the Rfam family "Bacterial small subunit ribosomal RNA", at positions 524 to 776 of the family's 1533-position model. The record is from RNAcentral.
UACGAAGGGGGCUAGCGUUGCUCGGAAUUACUGGGCGUAAAGGGCUCGUAGGCGGCCAACUAAGUCGGACGUGAAAUCCCUCGGCUUAACCGGGGAACUGCGUCCGAUACUGGAUGGCUUGAGUUCGGGAGAGGGAUGCGGAAUUCCAGGUGUAGCGGUGAAAUGCGUAGAUAUCUGGAGGAACACCGGUGGCGAAGGCGGCAUCCUGGACCGACACUGACGCUGAGGAGCGAAAGCCAGGGGAGCAAGCGGG